This 103-nucleotide ribosomal RNA is filed under the name Jaculus jaculus (lesser Egyptian jerboa). Lineage: Eukaryota; Metazoa; Chordata; Mammalia; Rodentia; Dipodidae. The record is from RNAcentral.
UUCUAUGGCCAUACCACCCUGAAUGUGCCCAGUUCCAUCUGAUCAUGAAGCUAAGCAGGGGCAGGCCUGGUUAGUACUUGCUUGAGAGUUAACAGUAUAGAUU